UACGUAGGGUGCGAGCGUUGUCCGGAAUUACUGGGCGUAAAGGGCUCGUAGGUGGCCAACUAAGUCGGACGUGAAAUCCCUCGGCUUAACCGGGGAACUGCGUCCGAUACUGGUUGGCUUGAGUUUGGGAGAGGGAUGCGGAAUUCCAGGUGUAGCGGUGAAAUGCGCAGAUAUCAGGAGGAACACCGGUGGCGAAGGCGGGUCUCUGGGCCGAUACUGACGCUGAGGAGCGAAAGCGUGGGGAGCGAACAGG
Molecule: ribosomal RNA, 253 nt
Filed under: uncultured bacterium
Lineage: Bacteria
Description: partial 16S ribosomal RNA
Rfam family: Bacterial small subunit ribosomal RNA
Source: RNAcentral